UAGGGAAUAUUGCUUAAUGGGCGAAAGCCUGAAGCAGCAACGCCGCGUGUGCGAUGAAGGCCUUCGGGUUGUAAAGCACUUUUUGAGGGGAUGAGGAAGGACAGUACCCUCAGAAUAAGCCUCGGCUAACUACGUGCCAGCAGCCGCGGUAAAACGUAGGAGGCGAGCGUUAUCCGGAUUUACUGGGCGUAAAGGGCAUGUAGGCGGGCUCUUAAGUCGGAUGUGAAAUCUCUUGGCUUAACCGGGAGGGGUCAUUCGAUACUGGGAGUCUUGAGGGCAGGAGAGGGAAGUAGAAUUCCCGGUGUAGUGGUGGAAUACGUAGAUAUCGGGAGGAAUACCAGUGGCGAAAGCGGCUUCCUGGCCUGUGCCUGACGCUGAUAUGCGAAAGCGUGGGUAGCAAACGG
RNAcentral lists this ribosomal RNA (404 nucleotides) under uncultured bacterium. RNAcentral describes it as "bacterial SSU rRNA". It matches the Rfam family "Bacterial small subunit ribosomal RNA", at positions 355 to 775 of the family's 1533-position model. The record is from RNAcentral.